UACGUAGGGUGCAAGCGUUGUCCGGAAUUAUUGGGCGUAAAGAGCUCGUAGGCGGUCUGUCGCGUCGGCUGUGAAAACUCGGGGCUCAACCCCGAGCCUGCAGUCGAUACGGGCAGACUAGAGUGCUGUAGGGGAGACUGGAAUCCUGGUGUAGCGGUGAAAUGCGCAGAUAUCAGGAGGAACACCGGUGGCGAAGGCGGUUCUCUGGGCCGUAACUGACGCUGAGGAGCGAAAGCAUGGGGAGCGAACAGG
Molecule: ribosomal RNA, 252 nt
Filed under: uncultured bacterium
Lineage: Bacteria
Description: partial 16S ribosomal RNA
Rfam family: Bacterial small subunit ribosomal RNA
Source: RNAcentral